AACGAACGCUGGCGGCAGGCUUAACACAUGCAAGUCGAGCGCCCCGCAAGGGGAGCGGCCGACGGGUGAGUAACGCGUGGGAACGUACCUUUUGGUUCGGAACAACUCCGGGAAACUGGAGCUAAUACCGGAUAAGCCCUAACGGGGAAAGAUUUAUCGCCGAAAGAUCGGCCCGCGUCUGAUUAGCUAGUUGGUGAGGUAACGGCUCACCAAGGCGACGAUCAGUAGCUGGUCUGAGAGGAUGAUCAGCCACACUGGGACUGAGACACGGCCCAGACUCCUACGGGAGGCAGCAGAGGGGAAUAUUGGACAAUGGGCGCAAGCCUGAUCCAGCCAUGCCGCGUGAGUGAUGAAGGCCUUAGGGUUGUAAAGCUCUUUUGUCCGGGAAGAUAAUGACUGUACCGGAAGAAUAAGCCCCGGCUAACUUCGUG
RNAcentral lists this ribosomal RNA (431 nucleotides) under uncultured bacterium. RNAcentral describes it as "partial 16S ribosomal RNA". It matches the Rfam family "Bacterial small subunit ribosomal RNA", at positions 29 to 507 of the family's 1533-position model. The record is from RNAcentral.